Molecule: ribosomal RNA, 254 nt
Filed under: uncultured bacterium
Lineage: Bacteria
Description: partial 16S ribosomal RNA
Rfam family: Bacterial small subunit ribosomal RNA
Source: RNAcentral
CACGUAGGGGGCAAGCGUUGUCCGGAUUUAUUGGGCGUAAAGCGCUCGUAGGUGGUUCGGUAAGUCGGGUGUUAAACCCCCAGGCUCAACCUGGGGACGCCACUCGAUACUGCUGUGACUAGAGUCCGGUAGGGGAGCGUGGAAUUCCUGGUGUAGCGGUGAAAUGCGCAGAUAUCAGGAGGAACACCAGCGGCGAAGGCGGCGCUCUGGGCCGGUACUGACACUGAGGAGCGAAAGCGUGGGGAGCAAACAGG